RNAcentral lists this ribosomal RNA (445 nucleotides) under uncultured bacterium. RNAcentral's name for it is "bacterial SSU rRNA". It matches the Rfam family "Bacterial small subunit ribosomal RNA", at positions 354 to 796 of the family's 1533-position model. The record is from RNAcentral.
AUGAGGAAUAUUGGACAAUGGGCGCAAGCCUGAUCCAGCCAUGCCGCGUGCAGGAAGACGCAUCUAUGGUGUGUAAACUGCUUUUGUACGGGAAGAAACACUCCCUCGUGAGGGAGCUUGACGGUACCGUAAGAAUAAGGAUCGGCUAACUCCGUUCCAGCAGCCGCGGUAAUACGGAGGAUCCAAGCGUUAUCCGGAAUCAUUGGGUUUAAAGGGUCCGUAGGCGGUUUAAUAAGUCAGUGGUGAAAGCCCAUCGCUCAACGAUGGAACGGCCAUUGAUACUGUUAGACUUGAAUUACAAGGAAGUAACUAGAAUAUGUAGUGUAGCGGUGAAAUGCUUAGAUAUUACAUGGAAUACCAAUUGCGAAGGCAGGUUACUACUUGUGGAUUGACGCUGAUGGACGAAAGCGUGGGGAGCGAACAGGAUUAGAAACCCCUGUAGUCC